ACCGGCGGCUCGAGUGGUGGCCACUAUUACUGGGCUUAAAGCGUUCGUAGCUGGCUUGUUAAGUCUCUGGGGAAAUCUUCCGGCUCAACCGGAAGGCGUCUCAGGGAUACUGGCAGGCUAGGGACCGGAAGAGGUGAGAGGUACUCCAGGGGUGGGGGUGACAUGCGGUGAUCCGUAAGGGAGGACCAGAGGCGGGGGAGUCUCACCAGGACGGCUCCGACAGUAAUGGACGAGAGAUGGGGAAACAAGCCG
RNAcentral lists this ribosomal RNA (252 nucleotides) under uncultured prokaryote. RNAcentral describes it as "partial 16S rRNA". It matches the Rfam family "Archaeal small subunit ribosomal RNA", at positions 475 to 726 of the family's 1478-position model. The record is from RNAcentral.